Molecule: ribosomal RNA, 151 nt
Filed under: Acrobleps hygrophilus
Lineage: Eukaryota; Metazoa; Arthropoda; Arachnida; Araneae; Mysmenidae
Also listed under: 1 other name
Description: partial 18S ribosomal RNA
Rfam family: Eukaryotic small subunit ribosomal RNA
Source: RNAcentral
UCGGGUCCGCACGCGUGAUACAUUGAAGGAAUCAGCAUGUUCUUUCCCGGUCCGACAGGAUUGGGUAACCAUGUGAACCUCCUUCGUGCUGGGGAUAGGGGCUUGAAAUUAUUCCCCUUGAACGAGGAACUCCCAGUAAGUGUGAGUCAUC